Molecule: transfer RNA, 75 nt
Filed under: Pennahia aneus (bigeye croaker)
Lineage: Eukaryota; Metazoa; Chordata; Actinopteri; Sciaenidae
Description: tRNA-Leu
Source: RNAcentral
GUUAAGGUGACAGAAUUAGGUAACUGCUAAAAGACCCAAGCUCUUCCUGCAGAGGUUCAACCCCUCUCCUUAACU